RNAcentral lists this ribosomal RNA (253 nucleotides) under uncultured bacterium. Its description in RNAcentral is "partial 16S ribosomal RNA". It matches the Rfam family "Bacterial small subunit ribosomal RNA", at positions 524 to 776 of the family's 1533-position model. The record is from RNAcentral.
UACAGAGGGGGCAAGCGUUGUUCGGAAUUACUGGGCGUAAAGGGCGCGUAGGCGGCCCGCUAAGUCGAACGUGAAAUCCCCGGGCUCAACCCGGGAACUGCGUCCGAUACUGGCAGGCUUGAAUCCGGGAGAGGGAUGCGGAAUUCCAGGUGUAGCGGUGAAAUGCGUAGAUAUCUGGAGGAACACCGGUGGCGAAGGCGGCAUCCUGGACCGGUAUUGACGCUGAGGCGCGAAAGCCAGGGGAGCAAACAGG